This 241-nucleotide unclassified non-coding RNA is filed under the name uncultured fungus. RNAcentral's name for it is "partial contains 5.8S ribosomal RNA, internal transcribed spacer 2, and large subunit ribosomal RNA". The record is from RNAcentral. Lineage: Eukaryota; Fungi.
AACGCACAUUGCGCCCGCCAGCACUCUGGCGGGCAUGCCUGUUCGAGCGUCAUUGCAACCCCUCAAGCACAGCUUGGUGUUGGGGCACUGCGUCUCCCGCAGGCCCCCAAAUCCAGUGGCGGACGCGCCAGGUCCCCGAGCGCAGUAGUUUCUUCUCGCUCCGGGCGGCCGGCGUGGGCUUGCCUCGCCCCAUCUCCACAAGGUUGACCUCGGAUCAGGUAGGAAUACCCGCUGAACUUAA